AGCGAACGCUGGCGGCAGGCUUAACACAUGCAAGUCGAGCGGGCACUUCGGUGUCAGCGGCAGACGGGUGAGUAACACGUGGGAACGUACCUUUUGGUUCGGAACAACUGAGGGAAACUUCAGCUAAUACCGAAUAAGCCCUUACGGGGAAAGAUUUAUCGCCGAAAGAUCGGCCCGCGUCUGAUUAGCUAGUUGGUAGGGUAAUGGCCUACCAAGGCGACGAUCAGUAGCUGGUCUGAGAGGAUGAUCAGCCACACUGGGACUGAGACACGGCCCAGACUCCUACGGGAGGCAGCAGUGGGGAAUAUUGGACAAUGGGCGCAAGCCUGAUCCAGCCAUGCCGCGUGAGUGAUGAAGGCCCUAGGGUUGUAAAGCUCUUUUAACGGGGAAGAUAAUGACGGUACCCGUAGAAUAAGCCCCGGCUAACUUCGUGCCAGCCGCCGCCGUAACAC
This 452-nucleotide ribosomal RNA is filed under the name uncultured bacterium. RNAcentral describes it as "bacterial SSU rRNA". It matches the Rfam family "Bacterial small subunit ribosomal RNA", at positions 29 to 526 of the family's 1533-position model. The record is from RNAcentral.